This 73-nucleotide transfer RNA is filed under the name Paramuricea clavata. It matches the Rfam family "tRNA". Rfam says of the family: Transfer RNA (tRNA) molecules are approximately 80 nucleotides in length. Their secondary structure includes four short double-helical elements and three loops (D, anti-codon, and T loops). Further hydrogen bonds mediate the characteristic L-shaped molecular structure. tRNAs have two regions of fundamental functional importance: the anti-codon, which is responsible for specific mRNA codon recognition, and the 3' end, to which the tRNAs corresponding amino acid is attached (by aminoacyl-tRNA synthetases). tRNAs cope with the degeneracy of the genetic code in two manners: having more than one tRNA (with a specific anti-codon) for a particular amino acid; and 'wobble' base-pairing, i.e. permitting non-standard base-pairing at the 3rd anti-codon position. Lineage: Eukaryota; Metazoa; Cnidaria; Anthozoa; Malacalcyonacea; Plexauridae. The record is from Rfam by way of RNAcentral.
GCCUCUGUAGCUCAGUUGGUUAGAGCCCUGUACCAGAAUUGCAGGACCACAGGUUCGAUUCCUGUCAGAGACC